This 72-nucleotide transfer RNA is filed under the name Chelonia mydas (Green sea turtle). It matches the Rfam family "tRNA". Rfam says of the family: Transfer RNA (tRNA) molecules are approximately 80 nucleotides in length. Their secondary structure includes four short double-helical elements and three loops (D, anti-codon, and T loops). Lineage: Eukaryota; Metazoa; Chordata; Testudines; Cheloniidae. The record is from Rfam by way of RNAcentral.
AGCAGAAUAGCCUACUGAGUGAGGCACUGGGUUGUAAAAUAGGAGGUCUGGGUUCCCUUCCCAGUUCUGCCA